GCUGACACACACACGCACACACCCUCCCACUUUACGCCAACUGCCUAUGAUGUCAUCCGUUGGAGCAUGAAUGAAGCACCAGGUCUGAAGAAUGUCACCCGAGUUGGUAAAAUGGGACAAACAGCACCAUCUAGAGGACAGUACUGGUAGUGCUGGCGACCGCACCUGGGUUACUACGGACACCAAGAAGUUAAAAAAAAAAAAACUAAUAAAAAUGUAAAUUAACCGUACAUCAGUGUUAGCAGUACUAAGCAAAGCCACAUUUCUCUUUCGGAAUAAAUAGAUAAAUACUCA
This is a long non-coding RNA of Hippocampus comes (tiger tail seahorse), 294 nucleotides long. RefSeq lists it as uncharacterized. The transcript has 2 exons. NCBI's taxonomy places the organism in Eukaryota, Metazoa, Chordata, Actinopteri, Syngnathiformes, Syngnathidae. The record is from RefSeq and is a predicted model, not a curated record.